RNAcentral lists this microRNA (22 nucleotides) under Macaca fascicularis (crab-eating macaque). RNAcentral describes it as "microRNA miR-6735-3p". Lineage: Eukaryota; Metazoa; Chordata; Mammalia; Primates; Cercopithecidae. The record is from RNAcentral.
AGGCCUGUGGCUCCUCCCCCAG